CCAAAGCUUUUUACCUGCUUUCUUCCACCUAUACGUCGCUUUCAGAGCCAACAGAGGGGCAGUUCCGGUAUUUUCUAGAGUAAGUUGACCUUUGCAAUAUUUACCGUUUGAUUUAAGAAUUAUUAUUAUUUUAAAAUUCCUUUUGAAAGAUAAAAUGGACGUCUUGAUCCAUCAAGGUGGACCCGUCAUCACCAUGGAUUAAAAGAGGUGAUGGGCCCGGUGUGGGGCCAUUUGGCAAUGGAAGGAGUGUAUCGUGUCGAUCAACAUGUGAUUUCCUUUCGCUCAAAGGAGAUUCCCUAUACUACAGUUUGUAGAGUGUGUGGGGCAUGCUUUAUUGAUAUUUAUGAUUAGUGUUUCUUCCUUUUUCUUUAAGGCAAAAGCUACAAUUAAAUUUCCGGC
RNAcentral lists this long non-coding RNA (399 nucleotides) under Ricinus communis (castor bean). Its description in RNAcentral is "long non-coding RNA (RCOM_LNC002827)". Lineage: Eukaryota; Viridiplantae; Streptophyta; Magnoliopsida; Malpighiales; Euphorbiaceae. The record is from RNAcentral.